Molecule: long non-coding RNA, 1298 nt
Filed under: Homo sapiens (human)
Lineage: Eukaryota; Metazoa; Chordata; Mammalia; Primates; Hominidae
Description: HSALNT0309606
Source: RNAcentral
AGAAUUCUCGCAGGCGCCUGGGCCGGGUGCCCGGCCGUGCGUGAGUGCGGAACAAGUCUGGGCGCGGGGAAGGGCGUGGGUGCGGGCCGUGGGUGGGUGCGGGGCAGGGCGCGGGGCUGUGGGAGGGCGCGAGGCCGUGUGUGGGUGCGGGGCUGGGUGCAGGCCGUGGGUGGGCGCGGGGCCGGGGCUGGCGGGGCAGGGCGCAGGCUGCUGCAAGGCGGCCUCGUGGAUUCUGGCCCCGGACGCACGAAGCGGGUUCUACUUUUUAAAAAAACUGCGUUGCCUUUUCCUUCCUCUACGUUAGCAUCCUGUCCGGGGUCCCCGGCCCAUGUGGCCUUUCUUCCAGCGACAGUACACUUAGCUCAGAACGGAUUGACACCCACUCUGUGUUUCCACCGGGCGCGCAGGCUCUGCAAUGCGGAGCGCGUUCUCUGAAGGACAGGCCCCGGAGUCACGGCUACAGCCACAGAAAGCGGAAACCGAGCUGCAGUCCAGAGGGGAUCCCCGUACAUUUCCAGCGGGCUCAGACACAGGGUCCCCCACAAGAAAGAAACAGGACAGAAAAAGUCAGGACACGUAUGCUGUGGAGAGUCGAGGUCUCGCCUAGAUCUUGGGUGUGGGUAGACGCAGCCGCUGGCAGUUUUCCUUUCCAGCGUCUCUGGGGAGCCUGGAGAUGUCCUUGGUGCCGAUGUGACACGAAGAGUGAUUGCGCCGCCCUGCAGAGGCGGUGGCGGGACGCUGCGCUCGGGCUGGGAAAGGCCGGCCCCAGGGCGACCCCUCCGGAGGCCCCCGGAGAGCAGGGCUUUCUCCACACGGAGACUUUCUAGCCACGUGAGACUUUGACCUCCCAGUCCCCCAGAUUCAGCGCUGGGACCGAGCGUCUGCUGUUAUUUUUAGUAGAAGUAUAAAAAGAAUCUCGAAAAGUUUUAGCUCUGGAGAAGGCGUGAAUACAGCUGGUGCCUUCAUACACUCCACUUGAGCCGCUCUUUAAGAACUCCAGGAGAUCAGAAAGCAAUACGAAAGCCAGAGCAUUGCACAUGGGAUGGGCUGGCGGGUGGCCUUUGGGUCCCUAUCUUAUGGACGAUUUUUGUAAAUGGGGCAUUGGAGAUGAGUAUCACCUGGAUCACAUUUUUAGGUUGAAUUCCUCCGUGGGGGGAACUUUAGCAAUACGCAUCCAAAUAAGAAUGUAGAUUGCAAUAAUUGUAGUAAAGUGUUUGCCAGACUCAUCUCAGAAAAAGACAUUAUCAAAAGGCAUUUAUUAUCUUCCUAAUGCGUGUCUGGCACUGGGCAGACACUGU